RNAcentral lists this ribosomal RNA (454 nucleotides) under uncultured bacterium. RNAcentral's name for it is "partial 16S ribosomal RNA". It matches the Rfam family "Bacterial small subunit ribosomal RNA", at positions 28 to 507 of the family's 1533-position model. The record is from RNAcentral.
GAUGAACGCUGACAGAAUGCUUAACACAUGCAAGUCAACUUGAACUUCGGUUUGGGUGGCGGACGGGUGAGUAACGCGUAAAGAACUUGCCUCACAGAUAGGGACAACAUUUGGAAACGAAUGCUAAUACCUGAUAUUAUGAUUAUAUGGCAUCGUAUAAUUAUGAAAGCUAUAUGCGCUGUGAGAGAGCUUUGCGUCCCAUUAGCUAGUUGGAGAGGUAACGGCUCACCAAGGCGAUGAUGGGUAGCCGGCCUGAGAGGGUGAUCGGCCACAAGGGGACUGAGACACGGCCCUUACUCCUACGGGAGGCAGCAGUGGGGAAUAUUGGACAAUGGACCAAGAGUCUGAUCCAGCAAUUCUGUGUGCACGAUGAAGUUUUUCGGAAUGUAAAGUGCUUUCAGUUGGGAAGAAAAAAAUGACUGUACCAACAGAAGAAGUGACGGCUAAAUACGUG